RNAcentral lists this ribosomal RNA (125 nucleotides) under uncultured archaeon. RNAcentral describes it as "partial 16S ribosomal RNA". It matches the Rfam family "Archaeal small subunit ribosomal RNA", at positions 330 to 454 of the family's 1478-position model. The record is from RNAcentral.
GCGCAGCAGUCGCGAAAACUUCACAAUGGAGGCAACUCCGAUGAGGGAAUUCCUAGUGCCAAAGCAUUUUGUGUUGGCUUUUCUUCAGCGUAGAUAACUGAUGGAAUAAGAGCUGGGCAAGACCG